This 698-nucleotide ribosomal RNA is filed under the name Kocuria palustris. RNAcentral's name for it is "bacterial SSU rRNA". It matches the Rfam family "Bacterial small subunit ribosomal RNA", at positions 118 to 828 of the family's 1533-position model. The record is from RNAcentral. Lineage: Bacteria; Bacillati; Actinomycetota; Actinomycetes; Micrococcales; Micrococcaceae.
UGAGUAACCUGCCCUUGACUCUGGGAUAAGCCCGGGAAACUGGGUCUAAUACUGGAUGCUACAUGUCACCGCAUGGUGGUGUGUGGAAAGGGUUUACUGGUCUUGGAUGGGCUCACGGCCUAUCAGCUUGUUGGUGAGGUAAUGGCUCACCAAGGCGACGACGGGUAGCCGGCCUGAGAGGGUGACCGGCCACACUGGGACUGAAACACGGCCCAGACUCCUACGGGAGGCAGCAGUGGGGAAUAUUGCACAAUGGGCGAAAGCCUGAUGCAGCGACGCCGCGUGAGGGAUGACGGCCUUCGGGUUGUAAACCUCUUUCAGCAGGGAAGAAGCCACAAGUGACGGUACCUGCAGAAGAAGCGCCGGCUAACUACGUGCCAGCAGCCGCGGUAAUACGUAGGGCGCAAGCGUUGUCCGGAAUUAUUGGGCGUAAAGAGCUCGUAGGCGGUUUGUCGCGUCUGCUGUGAAAGCCCGGGGCUUAACCCCGGGUGUGCAGUGGGUACGGGCAGACUAGAGUGCAGUAGGGGAGACUGGAAUUCCUGGUGUAGCGGUGGAAUGCGCAGAUAUCAGGAGGAACACCGAUGGCGAAGGCAGGUCUCUGGGCUGUUACUGACGCUGAGGAGCGAAAGCAUGGGGAGCGAACAGGAUUAGAUACCCUGGUAGUCCAUGCCGUAAACGUUGGGCACUAGGUGUGGGGG